RNAcentral lists this ribosomal RNA (304 nucleotides) under uncultured bacterium. RNAcentral's name for it is "partial 16S ribosomal RNA". It matches the Rfam family "Bacterial small subunit ribosomal RNA", at positions 506 to 807 of the family's 1533-position model. The record is from RNAcentral.
CAGCAGCAGCCGCGGUAAUACGUAGGGUGCGAGCGUUAAUCGGAAUUACUGGGCGUAAAGCGUGCGCAGGCGGUUGUGUAAGACAGGUGUGAAAUCCCCGGGCUUAACCUGGGAGCUGCGCUUGUGACUGCACAGCUAGAGUAUGGCAGAGGGGGGUGGAAUUCCACGUAUAGCAGUGAAAUGCGUAGAGAUGUGGAGGAACACCGAUGGCGAAGGCAGCCCCCUGGGCCAAUACUGACGCUCAUGCACGAAAGCGUGGGGAGCAAACAGGAUUAGAGACCCCUGUAGUCCCUGUCUCUUAUAC